GAAAUAAAUCUGAUGAGUUGUUGCUGGUUCUCUAGGGAGCAUGUGCACACUUGUCAUCUUUAUAUAUCCUCCUGUGCACAUUUUGUAGACCUGGAUAUCUCUCUGAUGGGCUAACUUUUAGUUUGGCACUCAGGUUUUUGAGGAUUGAUUUAUUAGUCUCUCCUUACAUUUCCAGGCCUAUGUCUCCUCAUACACCCCAAUUAAAGUUAUAGAAUGUAAAUAUUGGGCCUUUGUUGCCUAUAAAAUCUAUACAACUUUCAGCAACGGAUCUCUUGGCUCUCGCAUCGAUGAAGAACGCAGCGAAAUGCGAUAAGUAAUGUGAAUUGCAGAAUUCAGUGAAUCAUCGAAUCUUUGGACGCACCUUGCGCUCCUUGGUAUUCCGAGGAGCAUGCCUGUUUGAGUGUCAUUAAUAUUAUCAACCUCAUCUUGUUUUGAGUGUUGGAUGUGGGGGUCUAAAUUUUUGCUGGCCAUCUUUUUAAAUAAAGAGGGUCAGCUCCCCUAAAAUGCAUUAGCGGAACAUCUUGUAGACCGUUUAUUGGUGUGAUAACUAUCUACGCCAUUAAUGUCAAGUAGUGUUCAGCUUCUAAUAGUCCAUUGACUUGGACAAAUUUUUUAUUAAUGUGACCUCAAAUCAGGUAGGACUACCCGCUGAACUUAAGCAUAUCAAUAAGCGGAGGAAAAGAAACUAACAAGGAUUCCCCUAGUAACUGCGAGUGAAGCGGGAAAAGCUCAAAUUUAAAAUCUGGCAGUCUUUGGCUGUCCGAGUUGUAAUCUAGAGAAGCGUUAUCCGCGUUGGACCGUGUACAAGUCUCCUGGAAUGGAGCGUCAUAGAGGGUGAGAAUCCCGUCUUUGACACGGACUGCCAGGGCUUUGUGAUGCGCUCUCAAAGAGUCGAGUUGUUUGGGAAUGCAGCUCAAAAUGGGUGGUAAAUUCCAUCUAAAGCUAAAUAUUGGCGAGAGACCGAUAGCGAACAAGUACCGUGAGGGAAAGAUGAAAAGAACUUUGGAAAGAGAGUUAAACAGUACGUGAAAUUGCUGAAAGGGAAACGCUUGAAGUCAGUCGCGUUGGCCAGGGAUCAACCUUGCUUUUGCUUGGUGUACUUUCUGGUUAACGGGUCAACAUCAAUUUUGACUAUUGGAAAAAGAUUAGGGGAAUGUGACAUCUUCGGAUGUGUUAUAGCCUUUAGUUGUAUACAAUAGUUGGGAUUGAGGAACUCAGCACGCCGCAAGGCCCGGGUUUUUAA
This 1243-nucleotide ribosomal RNA is filed under the name uncultured fungus. Its description in RNAcentral is "eukaryotic LSU rRNA". The stretch from base 622 to 1243 matches the Rfam family "Eukaryotic large subunit ribosomal RNA", at positions 1 to 630 of the family's 3401-position model. Lineage: Eukaryota; Fungi. The record is from RNAcentral.